Molecule: small nucleolar RNA, 76 nt
Organism: Suricata suricatta (meerkat)
Lineage: Eukaryota; Metazoa; Chordata; Mammalia; Carnivora; Herpestidae
Product: small nucleolar RNA, C/D box 111
Source: Ensembl
UAGCCUAAGAUGAUGGCUUUAAAUUUCAUGUCUUUUCUCUAACAUUUUUCUCUGGAGAAAGUUCUUGGUCUUGCUC